UAGUCCACGCCGUAAACGAUGAAUGCCAGACGUCGGGCGGCUUGCCGUUCGGUGUCGCAGUUAACGCAUUAAGCAUUCCGCCUGGGGAGUACGGUCGCAAGAUUAAAACUCAAAUGAAUUGACGGGGGCCCGCACAAGCGGUGGAGCAUGUGGUUUAAUUCGAUGCAACGCGAAGAACCUUACCAGGUCUUGACAUCCAGAGAACUUUCCAGAGAUGGAUUGGUGCCUUCGGGAGCUCUGUGACAGGUGCUGCAUGGCUGUCGUCAGCUCGUGUCGUGAGAUGUUGGGUUAAGUCCCGUAACGAGCGCAACCCUUGUCCUUAGUUGCCAGCGCGUAAUGGCGGGAACUCUAAGGAGACUGCCGGUGACAAACCGGAGGAAGGUGGGGACGACGUCAAGCCAUCAUGGCCCUUACGACCUGGGCUACACACGUGCUACAAUGGAACGCACAGAGGGCAGCAAACCCGCGAGGGGGAGCGAAUCCCACAAAACGUUUCGUAGUCCGGA
This 506-nucleotide ribosomal RNA is filed under the name uncultured bacterium. RNAcentral's name for it is "bacterial SSU rRNA". It matches the Rfam family "Bacterial small subunit ribosomal RNA", at positions 791 to 1297 of the family's 1533-position model. The record is from RNAcentral.